CAAGUCGAACGAAGCACUUUAUUUGAUUUCCUUCGGGACUGAUUAUUUUGUGACUGAGUGGCGGACGGGUGAGUAACGCGUGGGUAACCUGCCUUGUACAGGGGGAUAACAGUUGGAAACGGCUGCUAAUACCGCAUAAGCGCACAGCAUUGCAUGAUGCAGUGUGAAAAACUCCGGUGGUAUAAGAUGGACCCGCGUUGGAUUAGCUAGUUGGUGAGGUAACGGCCCACCAAGGCGACGAUCCAUAGCCGACCUGAGAGGGUGACCGGCCACAUUGGGACUGAGACACGGCCCAAACUCCUACGGGAGGCAGCAGUGGGGAAUAUUGCACAAUGGGCGAAAGCCUGAUGCAGCGACGCCGCGUGAGCGAAGAAGUAUUUCGGUAUGUAAAGCUCUAUCAGCAGGGAAGAUAAUGACGGUACCUGACUAAGAAGCACCGGCUAAAUACGUGCCAGCAGCCGCGGUAAUACGUAUGGUGCAAGCGUUAUCCGGAUUUACUGGGUGUAAAGGGAGCGCAGGCGGUGCGGCAAGUCUGAUGUGAAAGCCCGGGGCUCAACCCCGGUACUGCAUUGGAAACUGUCGUACUAGAGUGUCGGAGGGGUAAGCGGAAUUCCUAGUGUAGCGGUGAAAUGCGUAGAUAUUAGGAGGAACACCAGUGGCGAAGGCGGCU
This 670-nucleotide ribosomal RNA is filed under the name uncultured Lachnospiraceae bacterium. RNAcentral describes it as "bacterial SSU rRNA". It matches the Rfam family "Bacterial small subunit ribosomal RNA", at positions 58 to 726 of the family's 1533-position model. Lineage: Bacteria; Bacillati; Bacillota; Clostridia; Lachnospirales; Lachnospiraceae. The record is from RNAcentral.